This 501-nucleotide ribosomal RNA is filed under the name uncultured bacterium. RNAcentral's name for it is "partial 16S ribosomal RNA". It matches the Rfam family "Bacterial small subunit ribosomal RNA", at positions 30 to 523 of the family's 1533-position model. The record is from RNAcentral.
AUUGAACGCUGGCGGCAUGCCUUACACAUGCAAGUCGAACGGCAGCACGGGUGCUUGCACCUGGUGGCGAGUGGCGAACGGGCGAGUAAUACAUCAGAACGUACCUUAUCGUGGGGGAUAACGCAGCGAAAGUUGCGCUAAUACCGCAUACGCCCUGAGGGGGAAAGCGGGGGACCGUAAGGCCUCGCGCGAUUAGAGCGGCCGAUGUCUGAUUAGCUUGUUGGUGAGGUAAAAGCUCACCAAGGCGAUGAUCAGUAGCUGGUCUGAGAGGAAGAUCAGCCACACUGGGACUGAGACACGGCCCAGACUCCUACGGGAGGCAGAAGUGGGGAAUUUUGGACAAUGGGGGCAACCCUGAUCCAGCAAUGCCGCGUGAGUGAAGAAGGCCUUCGGGUUGUAAAGCUCUUUUGUCAGGGAAGAAACAGCAGUUCUAACACAGUCUGCGAAUGACGGUACCUGAAGAAUAAGCACCGGCUAACUACGUGCCAGCCGCCGCCGUAA